UACGUAGGGGGCAAGCGUUAUCCGGAUUCAUUGGGCGUAAAGCGCGCGUAGGCGGCUUGCUAAGUCAGGUGUGAAAACCGGGGGCUCAACCCGCGGCCUGCACCUGAAACUGGCAGGCUUGAGUCUGGUAGAGGGAAAUGGAAUUCCGAGUGUAGCGGUGAAAUGCGCAGAUAUUCGGAAGAACACCAGUGGCGAAGGCGGUUUCCUGGGCCACGACUGACGCUGAGGCGCGAAAGCUAGGGGAGCGAACAGGAUUAGAUACCCUGGUAGUCCUAGCCGUAAACGAUGGGCACUAGGUGUGGGGGGUUAUCAACUCCCUCCGUGCCGCAGCUAACGCAUUAAGUGCCCCGCCUGGGGAGUACGGCCGCAAGGCUAAA
This 377-nucleotide ribosomal RNA is filed under the name uncultured bacterium. Its description in RNAcentral is "bacterial SSU rRNA". It matches the Rfam family "Bacterial small subunit ribosomal RNA", at positions 524 to 898 of the family's 1533-position model. The record is from RNAcentral.